RNAcentral lists this small nuclear RNA (115 nucleotides) under Phaseolus vulgaris (common bean). RNAcentral describes it as "snRNA U5". It matches the Rfam family "U5 spliceosomal RNA". Rfam says of the family: U5 RNA is a component of both types of known spliceosome. The precise function of this molecule is unknown, though it is known that the 5' loop is required for splice site selection and p220 binding, and that both the 3' stem-loop and the Sm site are important for Sm protein binding and cap methylation. Lineage: Eukaryota; Viridiplantae; Streptophyta; Magnoliopsida; Fabales; Fabaceae. The record is from RNAcentral.
AGUCGUGUGUUAAGCACAAAGCGAACUAUUCUUUCGCCUUUUACUAAAGAAUACCGUGUGCUUGUCACUCUAAGCGACAUACGCCAAUUUUUUAAAGAGAUUUCUAAGGAAAUCU